CUCCAGCUUUCCAAGGCUCAUCGCGGUGCUGCGAAGGCUGACAGAGCGCCAGCCGGGAGCAGGCAGAUGGUGCUGGGAGCGGGUGUGGGCCAAGUCGGGGUGGGCAGGCCCUGCCAGAAUCUGCACAGAGCAGCAGCUCCACGAGGAACGGGCUGGCCUGCUGACCUCAGAGCACCUCUAGAGGACGUUCUGGCUCAUUCCUGCCCUGCCAGAGGCUCUGACCUGUGUCCUUGGGGCUGCUCAGCAGAGGUCGUGGUCCACGCCGAGGCCUGCUCCUGUUGCUUAGCAGGCGUGCCCACCUCAGCCCCACACAAACCGUCGCUGCUGCUGUGCGGCCCUCAGCAACCUCAGAGGAGGAGCCUGGGCAGCACGAGAAGUGGACCUCAGGACACACUCUCACUCUGUGUGGCCAAUCCUGACAGCAAUGCCACCUCGAGCUCUGGGAGGGGAGAAGUCAGCAGUGUAUCCCUCGCAACUCCAGCUCCUGGAUGUUCUCAACGUGUGGAGUGAGCGCCUUCGUUCCCGCUAACCUGUGGGCAUUUCUGCAGUCCUAAGAUAAGGUGAAAAACCCCUGGGAGUCACACCUGGCCACAGAGCAUCACCUGACAGCCGCCAGCCAGGACUCUUGGGUUCAGAAGGAGUGACAGUGAGCUGGCAGACGGCCACCCCCAGAGAGUCUCUCCUGGAUGCCUGGUCCCCGAGUGUGCUGCCUGUGUGGAGGGGCUGCUGGAAGCUGGGGUGGUGCACACCGUGCAGAGAUGGGCAUUCCCAGGGGCAGGCCCACUUCAGCAGCACCUGCUGACCCCUCUACCAGAGUCAGCCCCGAGGGCAUGGGCCAGGGAGACCCGGAUAGAACCAGGGAAACCUGUCAGCACAUGCAUGACUAACCUUCUCUGUCUUGGCCUGUUCCCAAGUCCCAGUUGUGUGUUUUUAGCAUAACAUGCUGUGAGAGGGGACAGCCCAGAGCCUUGUGGUGGCUUUCUUGAUGCCACCAGUACUUACAACAGCCAUUCAGUGAACAGACUAAACCAAGUACAAACAUGCCUUUGGACGCCCUGGCGAGACUGGCACUCAGACCCAAGUGGGCCAGUACUUAGCAUAAGACGAAGUGUGUUGAGCAGAACCAUUGAAAUCAGCACAACACACCAGGCCAACACUCCACGCCGGCACCUGGCCUCUGCAGCAGCCCAGCUUCACAGACAAGCAUAGAUCAGACGCAUCCCUCAGAAAAUGGUUUCAUUUAUAACCAAUACUGUCACCAAAGUGCACUUGGAGUCAUAGGUAUGUUGCAAAAGAGGAAAAACCAAACCCCAAACCAAACUCUCCUAUGGAAGUGGCUGCUGUGGUCUGCAAGCUUGGGACCCCCCUUGAAAACCCCCAUGAUGCUGUCCCAGCCCACAUGGUGACGGUGUUCAGCUUAGGUCAUGAGGACAUAGCCCUCACGAAUGGGACUAGUGCCCUUCCAAAGGAGGCCCAAGAGCGCUCCCUUACCCUUCCUCCGGUGAAACAGCAGAUGCCCGCCAUCUUGAAGUAGACAACUGGACUGCACCAGAAUCUCUAGCACCCCUUGAUCCUGAACUUUCCAGCCUUCAGGGACACACAAAGCAGACUUUGUUGUUUAUAAGCCACACAUCAGUGACAGUUUGUUAUAGCAACUGAAAUCAAAAUAGGACAGAAAUUCGGUACUGUUGUAAUUUGGGUAUGAGGUGUGGCCCAAAAUCGCCUGUGUUGAUGCAGGAAUGUUCAGAGGUGAAAUGGUUGGUCGUGAGGUCUGUGACCUAUCAGUCCAUCCUGCUUUGAAUGGACCAACUGGGUGGCAGCCAUAGGCAGGUGAGGUGCGGCCAGAGGAACUGGGUCCUGGGGCUAUGCCCAGGGGGAGGGGGCUAUGCCCAGGGGGAGGAGACUAUGCCAGGGGGAGGGCAGCUUCCUUGGAGCCCCUAGCGCUGUUUCUCUCUGCUUCCCGGAUGCCCUGCACGGAGCAGCUGCCCUCCACCACACUUUUUGCCAUGAUGUUCAAAGAGCCCAGCAAACCACGGACUGACCUCUAAACUGUGAGCCAAGAUCAACUUUCCCUCCUCUAGGUCAUUCCUCUCAGGCCUUUUAGUCACAGUGACACAGGACACAUAUUUACCAAGGGUGGGGUCCUGCUGCAGCCAAUAGUUAGAAGUGUGGAAGCAGCUCUGGAACUUGGUGACGUAGGGAGUAGAAGCAUCCAGAGAUGCAUUCUAGGUCAUGACUAGAGCAUUCGGGGCGAUUCUGGUGAGGGGGCAGGAGUGUGGGAGAGCUGUGGAGGAAGGCCAGGCUCCGUGGACAGUAUCUGUGAACAGAAUGCAAACUACAGGUGGAAAGGCCAUUCUGCUGAGGUCUCCUAUGGAAACAGGAACCACGCUGGUGGAGAAGGGAGGAGGACCUGUGACCCUUGCUAUGUAAAGGCCAAUGGCUGGCUGCAGUGUGUCCAUAUAUCUGCGCUGUGUGACAGGUAGAACCUGAGAGUGGUAACUGAGAAUUGGCUGAAGAAAUUUCUAAGAGAGUGUUGAAGGAGGGUCUGGUUCCUCUUGACUGCCUUUAGUGAAAUGGGAGAAAACAGAAAUACCCUGGAGACAGAAGUGUCAAUCAAAAGGGAGCAGAACUCUAAAAUCUGGAAAAUCCUCGCCCAUCCAUGGGAAAAGGAGGACAUCUGCUCAGGAGGAAAUAGGGUGUGUGUGGCCAUGUCAUAGGGAGAUUAGUGUGGGUCAGCAUCUAAAGGGAAGCCAGGAAUUACUGGUCAAGACAAGGGAAGACUGACCCCCCGGCACUUCAGAAUCUAUCAUGGCCUCCCUCCUCAUCACAGACCCAGAAUGCAGGGCCUCAGGCCGAGCCAGGGCCAAGCUGCCCGGCCCUGCCUCACCCUCACACCAGGCCCACCCUCUGCUCUGCCCUGAGCACUCCUGCUGCACAGCGCAGCUCUGGAGGGCAGUUGCAGUGAGCAUGUUGUGCAGCAGAGCUGUAGGGGCAAGGGCACCUGAGAGGUUGCUGAGACCCAGGCACAGACCACCCCAGGGAUGGGGCCACUGAAGGAAGCCCCCACUAGGACAAUGUCAAGUAGAUUCAUGGGAGUGGGAGCCCUAGGGUUCAGACAUCUGCAUGGCAAAGCUGAGGGCAUGCACCCCCCACCUAGUGGGCCUGGAGGACAGAGCAUUGAGCCACAGUUUCCUGUCAUUCCUUCUUCCCUCCCUGUUCUUGCUUCUGGAAUGGGAAUGUCUGGCCCAUACCGGUCCCACUGUUGUGAUUGGCAGCACAUAGCAUGCUCCAUAUCACCAUCUGGAGGGGAAUUCUCCCAGGAUGAAACACCUUGGACUCUCAGCCACAUUUGAUGAGAUGAGAUGCUGGACUUUAGACUUUGGAGUUGAUUUUGGAAUGAUCAAGGCUAUUUGAGCCAUCAGGAUGGAAUGAAUGAAUCUUGCCCAUGAGAAGAACAAGAAUCAGGCAUCAGAGAGGCAGGGACGGAAUGCUACAGUCUGAAUGGGUGUAUUCCUCAAAACACAUGCUGGAACGUAAACCCUAGAUGAUGGUGGCUAUCAGGAGGGAGGCCGUUGGGAGGAGUUCAGCCACGAGGGUCUGCCACUGAAUGGGGUGGAUGUUCACAUGAAGGAGGCUUCAGAGAGAGUCCUCUCCUGCCCUGCCUUCUGCCAGGUGAGGGCACAGCAUUUGUUCCUUCAUUCUGCUAUUCCUUCUCCUGCUACAUGAGAACACAGCAACAAGGACCCAUCUUGGAGGCACGGAACACCCUCACCAAACACUGAAUCUCUUGGUAACUUGAUUUGGGAUUUUCCAGCCUCCAUAACUAUGAGAAAUAAAUUUCUAUUAAUUACAAAUUACCUAGUCCAAGACGUUUUGUUCUACAGCAAUGUGGGACUAGGACAGUUAUUUUAAUGUUUCAUAAAAGCAGUAUUUAGGGAACUAAGUUUCCUAAGGUUCACAAUAUAAUUUGGAAGUGGGCUAUUUACCACCAACAGUGGAAGAAGGGGGACAGAUGUCUCCCUGAGCGUUGGAAAAAACCUUGCAAUCUGGUUAUUGCUAUCCAGGAUCCUCUGUAAGAACAUAUAUAAGAAAUCACAGGCCAGUGAGAGCAUGCCAAGAUUCAGUCCUGCCCCCAAGGGCUCUGACCCAGGGAGACACAUCCACACUCAGGUCUAUGUGGAUGUGACCUCAGGUCCAUGUGGAAGCAUCCUCUGGUCUAUGUGGAUGUGACCUCAGGUCUAUGUGGAUGUGACCUCAGGUCUAUGUGGAUGUAACCUCUGGACUAUGUGGAUGUAACCUCUGGACUAUGUGGAUGCGUCCUCUGGUCUAUGUGGAUGUGACCUCAGGUCCAUGUGGAGGCGUUCUCUGGUCUAUGUAGAUGUGUCUUCAGGUCUAUGUGGAUGUGACCUCAGGUCCAUGUGGAUAUGUCCUCAGGUCUAUGUGGAUAUAACCACUGGACUAUGUGGAUGCGUCCUCUGGUCCAUGUAGAUGUGACCUCAGGUCUAUGUGGAUGCGUCCUCAGGUCUAUGUGGAUGUGACCUCAGGUCUAUGUGGAUGCGACCUCAGGUCUAUGUGGAUGUGUCCUCAGGUCUAAGUAGAUGUGACCUCAGGUCUAUGUGGGUGUGGUCUCAGAUGUAUAUAGAUGUGUCCUCUGGUCUAUGUGGAUGUGUCCUCAGUCCUAUGUGGAUGUGGCCUCUGGUCUUAGAAUAAGGGAGCCCUCUUGGUCCUUUGGGCUUCACCUAAAAGUGCAGUGGAAUACAGCAGCUUGGGAACUCUGAGUACUAAUAAAGCCCGUUCACACCCAGGGUGGGAACCUCCAUGUCCUGGUUGGAAAGAAGUCUUCAAAUCUGCCCAGAGGCAAGCUUGGGCCAUGUGUGCCCAGUGCACUUGGGGUGUCUCAGUCAGAGUUUUCCUUUCUGUGGCCAGAAAGCAUAACAGGAACAAUUAGAGGAGGAAACCUUUAUUUGGGGGCUCACAGUUUCAGAGGUCUCAGUGCAUAGACAGUGGCUCUGCUCCUCGGGGCUCGAGGAGAGUCAGGACAUCAGGGCAGAAUAGGGGCAGAGGGAAGCAGAGAGCCUAGCUUAGCUCACCAAAUACACACCAAAAGACAUACCCUCAGCGUGGCUCCUCCAGCCACACCCACCAGCCUCCAGUUACCACUCAGUCAAUCCUACCAGGGGGUUGAUUCCCUUAUUGUUAAGGCUCUUACAACCCAAUGAGUUCACCUCUGAACUUCUUGCAUUGUCUCACCAGGAGCUUUUCAGGGGACACGUCACAUCUGAUCCCUAACAGGAGGAACAGAUGUUGUUCACAUAAAGUCUCUGCAUGUCCACGGACACACAGAGCAAAGGACCAAGGCUUUGUCCAUUCGGAGCGCUUCCGGAGUGCCAAAUUGACCCUAGGCCUUCACCACAGGCCGUGCACCAGGGCUCUCGGGAAGUACCCCAGCCUCAUGUGGCGCACUUGAUCAGAAGUUCCCAGGAGACACUCCUCCUCACACAGGACUCAGGCCCCGGACCUGCUAUAAGGAAAUGCAGCGUGAGUCUUCACCGCACAGAAGUGCCACGGGCCCCUCUCACUGCGGGGAGCAAUGCAAGAGCAGCUGGCUGAGCCAUGGUGCGUCCAGGGCUGGACCCCUGGCCAAAUGAGACCCGGCUCUCUUCUGCAUGAAGAUCCCUCAAACCAUCACAGAAGGCCACACAGCCAGUUUCUCCUGGAAGAGACAUCAGCCGAGGCGGGUCUGUCAUUUAGAAGAUGUGGCGGGGAUGUCCCCUGCCUCCUGCAGCAAGGUUCAUCCUGCAGAGGGGAGAAGCAGGUGGAGUUUCCUCUUCCUGCCUGCCUCACCCCUGCCCUCCGCAGCCUCAGUCCUCAUGUGGCACGCCCAAGGCAUGCUCCGUGACACCCUGGGACUCCACUGCUCUCUCUCUGCAGCUCUUGGCACACGGCACACGUGGGCACCCCAGCGAGGGCUGGUUCCUGGAGGCGGAGAAGCUUUCCACCAGCCUGCUGGGGUGCAGGUGGCAGAGCCAGCCCAGCAGGGCAUCUCCCAGCGAGGCUCAGAGUGAUCAUCCACCUGUCAAGUUUCUGGGUGCCUCCCUGGGAGUGGGCUCCAGAGAGUGGCCUCUGGAGAUUCCCCUUCCUCUGUUCCUUGGGGCCUCCUUUUCCCUCUCUUUUCCUCUCUGGAUGGUGGCAGCUGAAUCUAAAGGGCAGGAAUCCAAGGGAAGGACAAGCCAGCAGCCUCCUCCCACUCUAGGCGCUUCUUCAAGAGAAUCCACCUCUUGGAGUCUUCUCACAACCUCUCAGCCCGGAACCUCCUCCCCAGGGCCUGUGCCAGGGCCUGACCUGCUCCUUAAACCCGUGGCACCAGGACUCCCCACUGCAGGGAUGGGGAAGGCACAGUCUUGGAGCCUCUCCACUCCCUACCCCUCCUCUAAUGGUAGCUGGGAAGGUGAAUGGCAUCUGUCAAGGAGCAAUUGGUCCCUUCCCGUGGCAGGGACCUGAGCACUGUGCUGGGAGCGCCCUGAGCUCCUGCCCCAGCCUGCAUUGCCUCUGAGUCUGGGUCAGGGAGAGCCUGUCCAGCCGUCCUUGCUGUCCUGGGAGCUCCUGCUCGCCCUGCCGUCUCCCCAGGGCUGAGUCUCAGCUCCUCAGACACCUGACCCCCCGAGGCUGCCUGAACAUCUCCAGGCUGGUGGCUUCACCCCAGAGUGGCUGAGCCAGAGGCCCUGUAGCCAGACUCACCUGCAGGGCCACCAUGGAGUUGCAGAGUACUCUCCGGCCACAGCAGACAUUGGCUGGGUUCCCACAGGUGACCAACAGGUGGACAAGGCUCACCGAGGACCCCUGCUGUUGGGGUAGUGGUGGACCCACCCUGUUCCCGGUCUCCAGCCAGCACCUGCCACCUCUGGUACAGUGGACAUGAGCACAUCCCCAAGCUUAGGGCAGUGAACCCAACCCCACAGCAGUCUGCCUGACUACACCCCCACUCCCUCGUCAGUCGGCCACUACAGUAAUGGGGACACCCACUCCAGAGGCCAGCUUGAAUUUGCUCCUGGAUGCCACUGGACUCUGAUGGACACAAACCGCCACUUGUCGGAUUGCUAUGUUCUGUACCCUGGACGCGGGGUCUUGGAAGAGUAAGAGGCGUUGCCAGAGUUCAGGGCUGGCCCAUCUUCACCAGGAUUCAGGGGCUUCAUUUGUACAAGGAAAUCUCUGUCCCUCUCCAUGUGCUGAGAAUCCCAUGUGUGCGUGCGUGUGCGCGCUCAGGUAUGCCUGUGUGUGCACCUGCAAGUGUGUGAUUGCAUGCGUUUUCUGUGCACACACGUAUAUGUGUGAGCACGUCUUGUUCACAUGUUUGCACAGGCACAUGACAAACAUAUGUGCAUGUACAAGUGUGAGCACACACGUGUUCUUGCCUGCAUUUGUGCAGUGUUUGUGGAUUGGGUGGUGGGGUGCUGGGGCAGGCUGCUCCUGUGACUGGAACUCUGGGCCCGGCCCUGGGCCAGGUGACCCUGGAGCCAGCGCCCCGCCUGCAAGACUCCUUUAUGACCUACUCAGCAGUCACAUCUAUGUCGCCAGCCCAGCUGAUCUUCAGCCAAACCUGCCAAAGAGCCAAAGGCAUCACCUCCACACUUUCCAAAGGAUGGACAAGGCCCAGCGUUUUUGUCAACCAUCAGUCAACAAAUGAAAGAAAAGUUGAGGAGUAGAAUGGUGUCGACUCUCGACUUCGCCCCACAUGACCAAGGCUGAGGUCCAGCUUUUCCAAGCAUCUACCUGUGAUGCACAGCGGGUUGGACUGUAAGGGUAAAAGAAAUUGAAGUUAAAAUGUAAAAGACCGGGCAUUGUAAAGUUCCUAAGCUGCAAGGCCUGAGUUAAAAAGUGAAGGACUAGGUAUUGUUAAGUUCCUCUGCUACACCCAGAAAUUCCUGAGGCCAUUUAGUUGAUUAAUAGCCUAGGGCCCUGUGCGAUCUUGCACGUAGGCAGUAGGCAUCGCAGGGCCUAAACCAAUCAGUUUGAAUGUACCUCCCCCCCUUAGAACUGACCUAUCACUCCCGCCCAACCUGUUCCCGCCAAUGAAUGAACUAAUCAUGUUUAGGAGUUGUUGUUUGAUUUUCCCGCGGUGUAUGAUGAUUUGUUAAAGGAGACUGUGAUGUAUGUAAAGUCCCCGCCCUCCCAAAAAAGUGUACUUAAGCACUGCUCAACUCCUGCUCUGGGCUCUGGGCUGCUCUUCUUUCUGAGUGAGCACGGAGCCCCAGUGCGCUGGAUUGGAUCCUCAAUAAACCCCUUUUGCUGUUGCAUGA
This is a long non-coding RNA of Marmota monax (woodchuck), 8297 nucleotides long. RefSeq lists it as uncharacterized. The record is from RefSeq and is a predicted model, not a curated record. Lineage: Eukaryota; Metazoa; Chordata; Mammalia; Rodentia; Sciuridae. The transcript has 2 exons.